CCUUCUUUAAAUUUCCUCUGAUUGCCAUACUGUUACUGUAUCUUUACUCACUAAACUUUUUAUUUACAUUACUGGGCUGAGUGUGUCUUGGUGGACCUACCAAUCUUUUCCACUUUAAACAGCCAAGGUCAAACGGGUUCCCUCUCUAAAUAUCACUUAUUAUUCUUUAUUUUUUUUUGUCUCUAAUUAUUGCAUAUUUGCAUUUCCAACAUGUUAUUUAUACCUCUGGACUGAUCAGGGUGAAGGACAUUUUAGAGCCAGUCAGUGAGGCCCAGUUUUCCUGUAAUUGGACCUUGGACCCUGUGUCACAGGUUGAGGAUUUGCCCCUGUGGUCCUGCAAGUGGAGGAAGUCCAAAAAUGUGGUGACCUGUAGUUCUCCUGGCUUGGACUUGCUGAUGUCUGUGCCUGGCUGGACUGACUAGAGGAUGAAGUGCUCAGUGUUCUGAGAAGUGAACCAACAUGGCAGUAUGCCUAGGUGGACCUACCAGUCUUUUCCACGCAACAGAGUGAACCUUUCAACCGUGGCCAAGUGCAUCUGAGCUUGAAACAAUCCUUACUGUUAGAAGUAUUGAAGGAUUGUCUCAACUUUGUGAAGAAUCUGCGAAUACAGCGGAUUAUGAGAAUCCAUUGGUAACUCUGACCCAUUUGGUUGAAACAACGGGUCUCUUAACGCUGCCAGGAUUCAAUGCAGUACCCAGUACCUCCGCGGGUUGCGAACCCCGCGCUUUGUCGAAGUUUAAGCCCUGUUUAACAAGCAGUCCUGGGUGCUUGCCACAGAGUCCUCAAAGUGCUGCUGAUAAGUCUGCUUCCGGCGGAAAACAUCCAAGGAUAUGUAUGAGCACAAAUAACGGGUCAAUUUCACGUGGGAAACGUCUUGGGUUUGAUGAUGGCUACAAAUCUUUAGAUUUGCGCACCAGUGACCGCACUGCAUGUGGUGAUGUGCUGCGGACAGGAACGGCGUCGGAGGGUGACUGUCGUCUGAACUGAGGAGUUUUUGAAUACUUGAGACCAAAACAGUUUCACAGAAAAGCCAGAUGAGGCGGAGGAUACUGGACCAAUUAAUACUGGACUAACUCCAAUAUCGGAACAAGUGAGAGACAUUGAUGGAGAGGGCUUAAAAUCGAAUCAGGAGCAUGGACGUCAGGUAAGCGGCUCUUGCCUUUCUAGCGAUGUUAAUGAGUUUAGGACAUUGCUGGGUCUGCAUUCUCAAGAGAUUACCAAAAAUACCAUUGAGCAGCGUAGACAAGGUGCUAUUGUGCAUAGAUUAAAUAAUAUUGUUCAAAAACUCACUGAAAAUAAUCGGAAAUUAGUAAAAGAAAACCGUAUACAGUUAGAACAGGUAUCAAAGCACAUACAGAUGGUACAGGUUAUGCGUGAAGAACAAAAUGCACAUUUUAAAUCUUUAACAGAUGUAAUAUUUAAACUCAACAGGCUUUUACAGUUAAAAACUUCACCAAUUGUCUGUUGCAGGACCAUCCAAAUAGUUAUUGUGUGCCAAUUUGAAAAUUUUUGUUCUUUACAUACAUUCCUGUUUACCUAUUAAACAAACCACAUCAUCAGUACGUCAUAAAUUGUUUAAAUAAUUUAGUAAAAAGAAACAAACAAAAAUAAUGGUCUAAAAGUUCUCGGGAGUCAGACAACAAUCCGUGUGUUAGCGACACAAAUGAUGUUUGGGAACAGAUGUCUAUUAGCGAAUUAGUUUAAAUGAUGAGUAUGAGUCGUCUACUAGUAUUAAUCUGCAAAACACACUCAACACAACGCAAAUGUUAAUGAUUAUCACACCUGAUGGUUUACAGACCACAUUGGAUAAAUGGUUCUCAAAUAAAAACAACGCAAUACACAGCCCGCCAACAUGUUGUAGAUGCGGUGAUAAUUAUGGACAUUCCGUAGGUUUUAUGUAUAAUACCACCAUAACCAAUGCUUGGGAGCAGACAGCUAUUAGUGAACGACUGCUAUGCUUAAAUGAUGAGUGAGUCAGCUCUAACUUUCUUAGAAAACCCAGUACAAAAUAUGCUACACCUAAACAGAACACAGGCACUGGUCUGCAGACAGAUUUCCUACACUCGAUCCAGCAACUCCUAACUUUGGUUUAUCUAGUAAUGAUAUGGCACAGUUGGUGAGAAAUGGUGGUGAAAUAAGCGGAUAUACUGUAGUGCUGAGAAUUAGGUUUAAUAGUGUUGUGCUACACAGGACGCUGAAUUUACAUGACGCCCCGUCCACAGACAUGGCCUCAUACACCGUCUAUGUACACAAUAUACUAUCAGACAUUGUAUCGUUCUCCAGGGUGUUGGCUGGUGAUGGUAGUGUUAUCAACAUUACCCUAAGAGGUGAUAGCAUUUACAUCAGAUGUUAAACUGUUGUCAAGAGACAGUUACAAUGUUGACAGGUUUGCAGACACAAUUGAAAAGGUUAUGCAGAGUAACAAGAACAUUACAACAGACAAUAGUUUGAUGUUGACUGUCUCCAUAGCUAUGAGUAAAAAUGGCGGUGUUCAGCAUAAGGUGCUUGACCUCGCGCACAAUCAGGUGAUUGAUAGGAACAGAAUGAACCUCUUUUGCCCAACGAACAUUUCAAAUCUGUUUUGCGAUCUGUCUUGCUCAUUUUCUGAACCCACAUGCACCACAACACGUUAGAAACUAUAGCCAAUCAGAUACAGGCAAAGGCUGGUUACAUGCGUGAUCACAAGGUCGGGUUUAAUGACUGGUCAUUUGGUGUUAAAAUAGUUGUUUCACAAAUAGUUCAUGUGGUUUAGAGAUGUACCAAACGAAAGACAAACCACAUGCCAGGACUGUUUCUAUAUCUCCAUGAUGGCCAUUAUUGCUUGGUAAAAAAUUUGAAAGCGUUCAUGGGUGUACUGUAUGUUUAAGUUUUGUUGGUGUGCACUAACACAAGGGGUCGUAGUUGUAAAUAUCAUUGCGAUGUGUGUCAGGACACAGAAUGCAGUCAAACCCAAACAUGUCAAAUAUUGUGAUGACUGUUCACGCUACUGUAAAUUUAACUAUUGUUAUGACCAACACAAGAAAAAGAAACAACCUAUUACUGGGGAGAUGGCGUCCUCAUGCAAUUUGACUAAAUACUGUGGAUCAUGUGGUCAACGUUAUCAUGCUGGUUUAACUAAGUCAAAACCCCACAAGUGUAUGUCAGGUCAUUGUGUUCACUGUCAUGAAGAAUCAUCAGAUACAACACAAUGUUACAUACAGCCGAUCAAAUUAAAAGAACCAAGUGAGGCUUGCAUCUUCUUUGACUUUGAGACAUGAUUUGAAAAUGGUAAGCAUGAAGCUAACUUUGUUCAGCGAAACUUAUGUUCAGAGAAGGGGCAUUUUCAACAAACAUUUAAUUUGACGCAAAAUGAGAACUAUGGGACCUUUUUACAGCUAUGACUCAAUGAGUAACAAGGACAGAAAGCAGUUUGACAAGUGGUACAGCACAGUCUCUGAUGUGUAACUUCAAAAAGGAGUUGUUUGUUUAUACAAUGUUUUAUUACGUGAAGCUUGCAUUAAGUAUCAUGACGAGUUCAUUCAGUGUACAAAGCUAGACCCGUUUAAUUAUACAACAUUAGCAUCAUGUUGCAUGGCUGUGUACAAGACACAUUUUCUACCAAACCCUAACUCAUGUUGAAAUGAAGUUUGGUGUGUAUUAUGUGGAUGGGUAUUAUGAAAAGGAUGGCGUACAAAAAGCCUUAAUUUAACGGGUGUAGGCAUCAUGGUCAUGAAUGUUGUUACAGUCCGAACCAGCCUCAUCUGAUGUCAAAGGUGUUGUAUGGUGAAUUGCAAAAACAGUAACACCAAGGUACAGAUCCUUGUUCGAGCAUAUGGUCUAGAGGUGGAAGUAAUGUGGGAAUGUGAGUGGGCCAAAGCUAAGAGGGAUGACUUGGGUGUAGCCGCUUUCAUGUCUAACUACACACCGCCUGAAAGGUUGAAACCAAGAGAUGCGCUCUUUGGUGGCAGAACCAACGCAUAUAAGCUGUAUUACAAAGCAAAGGAGGGUGAGAAAAUCAGAUAUUUGGACUUCACUAGUUUGUACCCGUUCUGUCAGGCUAGAAAGAAAUACCCUGUAGGUCAUCCUCAAAUAUUUUUCAAAAAUUUUUGACCUCUGGAGGAGUACUAUGGUUUAGUCAAGGCUACCGUACAUCCACCAAAAAAACUCCUACACCCUGUGUUACCAUACCGCUGCAAUGGUAAGUUAACGUUCCCACACUGUCGUAUUUGUGCCGAGCAGGAAAGCCAACUUCAAACUUGCGCACACAGUGAUGAAGACACAUCCAUCACCAGGUCUUGGGUUAGUAUUGAGCUGAUGAAGGCUAUUGAGAGGGCAUGUGGUGGCAAAAAUCCAUGAGGUUUGGCAUUUUCCAGAGAGUUCAGAGACGUUGUUCUGCGAGUAUGUAAAGACUUUUUUACAGUACAAGCAGGAGGCCAGUGGUUAUCCAGAACAUGCUGUCACAGGGGAAGAGAGGGCAGAGUACAUCAGGGAUUAUUUUGAGAAGGAAAAGGUUCAGCUGAAUCCUGACAAGAUAAGCCUUUACCAAGCACGUCGGUCUAUUAAGAAAUUGUUAAAGCUUGUGGGGUUGUUUUUUUUUCAAUAAGGGAAAACUUGCCAGUGUCCGAGAUGUUGACUAAUCCAGAACAGUUUUCACUGCACAUAUUUGGUGACGGAUAUGACGUUAAACACUUCAUUUGUGUCUGAUGCCACAGUGUUGAUUCAGGAGUGCUAUUCUGCUGGAGACAGCUGCCCAACACGUGACGAUGUGUUUCUUGGUGCUUUUACAACAGCGCACACUCAUUUAGAACUUUACAAUCUGAUGGAUAGAUUAGGUGACAGACUCUUGUACAGCGAUACCGAGUUAUUUUUGUUUUCUCGUGAAGGCGAUUGGGAACCCCCUCUGGGGCCCUACUUAGGUGAUUUGACAGACGAAAUUGGUGGUGAUUACAUUAGAGUUCUGCUUGGCAGGGCCUAAGACAUACGGUUAUCACACAGCAACCGUUAAAACAUGUAUGAAAGCAAAAGGUAUCACACUAAACUCUGACAAUUCAAGUCAUUAGACUAUACAUACUGAUUGGUCUUGUCGAUCAUUAUGUGGUAAAUCGUGACCGUAGUCGACAUGUACUGGCUCGUGCAGACGGCAUCGUAAGAAAUAAAAAGAACCUCACGCUGAAAAACAAGUCAGUGGUGAAACGCUUUAAAGUCGUAUACAACAAACGGGUCCUGUUGUCUGAUUUUUCAACACUCCCUUAUGGAUACUAAAGGUGUCCAUCACUAUCAUGGGGUGCGAGAUGUUGAAGGGUUUGAUUUUAGAUUACAUCCUUUUUCUUGUGUAAUAAGUGGACCAUCAAAUUCUGGAAAAACAUUUUUUGUAAAACAGUUGAUGGAACGUGCUGAUGAGUUGGUUUCAGAGAAAAUAGAAAACAUGGUAUUCAUUUGAUUGUUGGCAACCCUUUUAUGAUGUUAAAUAAUAAAUAUUAAUUUUGUUCAAGGGAUACCAACAUCACUAAAUGACAACACACUUUUGCCACUUAACAGAAAUAAUUUGUUAAUUAUUGAUGUUAUGAAAGCUGCUAGCAAUAAUGCUGAGGUGGAAAAGGUAAUUAUGCAGUAUGUACACCAUCGAGAUUUAAGUGCCAUUUACCUAAUACAGAAUUUAUUUUUUAGUCUAGUAGGACAAUUUAGUUUGAACACAAAUUACCUCAUUGUUUGAAAAUCCUUGAGGCAACAAUCAGGUAUUAGACAGAUAUACCCUGGUAAUACAAAGUUUUUUUUGAACAGAGACACGUUAUUUUACAAGCAGCAUCUAAUGAACUUAUUUUAACUCUGAAGUGGCUCUUAACGUACUUAACGGUACCAUACCUCUCACAUCAACACAAUAUCAUGUGUUAAAGAAGUGUGAAUUUUUUUGCUGAUAAAGAUUGGUGUUUUCAUGAAAAAAGAGUAAGUAGUCAGAAAGGGGGUUUUCUUCUACCGUCGUUAAGAAAUGCUUUACCGUUUAUAACAAGUUUGAUAAACAAAUGUUUUUGGUACCACGACACCAGUUGGAUAAGUUAAAUUGUAGAAAAUGACUUGGAUGUGUCUAUUAGAAAUAUUUUUUUGGGUAGGAAUGAUCUUGACGCUCAUGAGAAAGCCGAGCUUUAUGCCGCUCUUUUGCAGAGAUAUUUAACCAUUUGCUAAACGGGGAUAUGGAGACCAACACUUUAACAUUGUCCCUACCACACGCAGAUAAUAUUAAUAAGGAUGUAAAUGUUGAUCAGACUGACAAAAUGAUGUAAUCAUUGUUCUUAGAAAUGUACUCUCACGAAGGAAGAGGAAUGUUCAGUAUGUUUUAGAUAAAAUGUCUAAAUCAAAAGAUUUGUCUUCUUGGAAUGAAUCAGGAGAAUGUGUCUUGCAUGGAAAUCCAAUCCCUGGGUCACAUUCUGGACUUGGUGAAAAGUAUCAUGAUUUUCUAGAGGCUUUUGCUGUUCUAAAUAUACUACUUUCUACCAUACCAAACAAGCAUGUAAGACAAAAUUAUUUUGUUAAAGUAAAAAUCUGUUGGUUAUGCUACAAGACUUUUCGCAAACACCUGUUAAGUGUUGAAACCCCACCAUUUAUCUCCCCCAUUCUAGUAAAUGG
Colossoma macropomum (tambaqui) is the source of this 6600-nucleotide long non-coding RNA. RefSeq lists it as uncharacterized. The transcript has 8 exons. The record is from RefSeq and is a predicted model, not a curated record. Lineage: Eukaryota; Metazoa; Chordata; Actinopteri; Characiformes; Serrasalmidae.